GGGCCCGCACAAGCAGUGGAGCAUGUGGUUUAAUUCGAUGCAACGCGAAGAACCUUACCAGGCCUUGACAUCCCCGGAACUUUCUAGAGAUAGAUUGGUGCCUUCGGGAACCGGGUGACAGGUGCUGCAUGGCUGUCGUCAGCUCGUGUCGUGAGAUGUUGGGUUAAGUCCCGUAACGAGCGCAACCCUUGUCCUUAGUUGCCAGCAUUUAGUUGGGCACUCUAGAGAGACCGCCGGUGAUAAACCGGAGGAAGGUGUGGAUGACGUCAAGUCAUCAUGGCCCUUACGGCCUGGGCUACACACGUGCUACAAUGGCUAGGACAGACGGCCGCAAACCCGCGAGGGGGAG
RNAcentral lists this ribosomal RNA (349 nucleotides) under uncultured bacterium. RNAcentral describes it as "bacterial SSU rRNA". It matches the Rfam family "Bacterial small subunit ribosomal RNA", at positions 917 to 1267 of the family's 1533-position model. The record is from RNAcentral.